This is a non-coding RNA of Chiloscyllium plagiosum (whitespotted bambooshark), 1406 nucleotides long. The record is from RefSeq and is a predicted model, not a curated record. Lineage: Eukaryota; Metazoa; Chordata; Chondrichthyes; Orectolobiformes; Hemiscylliidae.
GUAUGAUGGAGGGGAAGAGACAAUGUGAUGGAGGGAGCGAGCAGGCCGCUGGUUGUCCGGGCGGGGUGAGGUGAGGGUUGAGCCUGAGGAGCAAUGUGAGUAUAAUCCUCAGUCGGAGGGUGAGGAAUCCGGCUCCUCUGGGGCUUCUGCAGUUUUUGUUUCUCUCUCUGUCUGUGUCUGUCCCUCUCUUUCUCGGAGUCAUUGUCUCUCUCCCUCAGUCUCUUUGCCUUUCUCUCUCUCUCUGGCUGUGCCUCUCUCCUUCUCCCUGCCCCACAGACUGGGUUCCGGGCAAUGCCCAGCCUGAGGAAGGUGGUAGUGCCUGGGGAAGCUCGGUGCUGUGUAGAGGGAGAGUCCGGGGGGAGAGGGAGCUGCGUGUUUGCGAGCGGACUCAGUGAGUGAGGGCAGCGCCGGCUGUAAACCGUGCACACAGCAAGCUGCUCCCGGCUCACUCCAACCACAACUUCCAUUUGAGCAGCGCCCACUUCCUCCCCUCGGCUCCGGCCAAAGUUCGCCGAUUCUCCAGGAGCAGCUCUCAGAGACGAGGGCCGAAGAUGACAGCGGUCUGCCGGGGAAGAUGAGCGGAUUUUCCAACGAGGUGCUUUGGAAACGGGCUGCUAACUCCUGCAGCUGAUCCGAGGGGCCGGGCUCUGAGCUGCUGAAACCUGUGAAUUCCUCAGCCUCUGGUAACUUGCUCUUUACCCACUCUCAGGUCAAUACGGUAGACCCGUCUCUCCGCCUCAGACCUUGCUGUGAAGAUGGUAAUAACUGCGGCCAAUGAAGAGGACAACGCUUCGAAUGAAGAAAAGGAGACAGAUCAACUAACUCCACAAAGAUCUACGCACAUGAUGCACCAAGGCUCCUCAGACAGCGCCUUCUAAAUCCCCGGCUACUUCCAUCGAGAAGGACAAGGGCAGCAGAUACAUGGGAACACCACCCCCUGCAUGUUCCCCUCCGAGCCACUCAGCAUCCUGACUCGGAAAUGUAUCGCCGUUCCUUCAGUGUCACUGGGUCAGAAUCCUGAAACUCUGUCCAUGACUGGACUGUGGGUGAACCUGGACAUGAACUGGACUCUGAAUUUCAGGCCUCAGGCCUCUAACAUAACAGUGCUCUCGCAAAGACAGAACUUUAUGUUUAUGUAACACUUUCAACCAGGAAAACAUUAAAAAGCAUUUUAUGGAAUCACAGAGUUGUUAAGAUAUAGGUGGAUGUCAUUCAGCCUAUCAUGGGCUCUCUGAAUUAGACAUUUCAUUUAUACUGUUGUUCUGCUGCCUUAGCUGUGGAACCCAGUCUAUUCUUCUUUUACUGAUUUCCUUUUGCAAGCCUCAGUUUCCCCUGCCUCCACCACACUGUCAGGCAGGGCAUUCAGCCCAAGUGAAUUUCUAGAUGAAGAGUCACCUAGACUCUAA